This 406-nucleotide ribosomal RNA is filed under the name uncultured bacterium. Its description in RNAcentral is "partial 16S ribosomal RNA". It matches the Rfam family "Bacterial small subunit ribosomal RNA", at positions 30 to 526 of the family's 1533-position model. The record is from RNAcentral.
AUUGAACGCUGGCGGCAGGCCUAACACAUGCAAGUCGAGCGAGCGGCGGACGGGUGAGUAAUGUAUGGGGAUCUGCCUGGUGGAGGGGGAUAACUACUGGACACGGUAGCUAAUACCGCAUCCCAUCAGAUGAACCCAUAUGGGAUUAGCUGGUAGGUAGGGUAACGGCUUACCUAGGCGACGAUCCCUAGCUGGUCUGAGAGGAUGAUCAGCCACACUGGGACUGAGACACGGUCCAGACUCCUACGGGAGGCAGCAGUGGGGAAUAUUGCACAAUGGGCGCAAGCCUGAUGCAGCCAUGCCGCGUGUAUGAAGAAGGCCUUCGGGUUGUAAAGUACUUUCAGUCGGGAGGCGUUACCGACAGAAGAAGCACCGGCUAACUCCGUGCCAGCAGCCGCGGUAAUAC